RNAcentral lists this ribosomal RNA (232 nucleotides) under Methylobacterium sp. 13MFTsu3.1M2. Its description in RNAcentral is "16S rRNA. Bacterial SSU". It matches the Rfam family "Bacterial small subunit ribosomal RNA", at positions 19 to 277 of the family's 1533-position model. The record is from RNAcentral. Lineage: Bacteria; Pseudomonadati; Pseudomonadota; Alphaproteobacteria; Hyphomicrobiales; Methylobacteriaceae.
CUGGCUCAGAGCGAACGCUGGCGGCAGGCUUAACACAUGCAAGUCGAGCGGGCAUCUUCGGGUGUCAGCGGCGGACGGGUGAGUAACGCGUGGGAACGUGCCUUCUGGUUCGGAAUAACCCUGGGAAACUAGGGCUAAUACCGGAUACGCCCUUUUGGGGAAAGGUUUACUGCCGGAAGAUCGGCCCGCGUCUGAUUAGCUAGUUGGUGGGGUAACGGCCUACCAAGGCGAC